Molecule: ribosomal RNA, 497 nt
Filed under: uncultured bacterium
Lineage: Bacteria
Description: partial 16S ribosomal RNA
Rfam family: Bacterial small subunit ribosomal RNA
Source: RNAcentral
GAUGAACGCUGGCGGCGUGCCUAAUACAUGCAAGUCGAGCGAACGGACGAGAAGCUUGCUUCUCUGAUGUUAGCGGCGGACGGGUGAGUAACACGUGGAUAACCUCCCUAUCAGACUGGGAUAACUUCGGGACACCGGAGCUAAUACCGGAUAAUAUUUUGCACCGCAUGGUUCAAAAGUGAAAGACGGUCUUGCUGUCACUUAUAGAUGGUUCCGCGCUGCAUUAGCUAGUUGGUAAGGUAACGGCUUACCAAGGCAAAGGUGCAUAGCCGACCUGAGAGGGUGAUCGGCCACACUGGAACUGGGACACGGUCCAGACUCCUACGGGAGGCAGCAGUAGGGAAUCUUCCGCAAUAGGCGAAAGCCUGACGGAGCAACGCCGCGUGAGUGAUGAAGGUCUUCGGAUCGGAAAACUCUGUUAUUAGGGAAGAACAUAUGUGUAAGUAACAGAGCACAUCUUGACGGUACCUAAUCAGAAAGCCACGGCUAACUACGUG